GGCGUCAUAGCUCAGCUGGGAGAGCAGCAGACUGAAGUUUCACGGAUCAUCUGAAGGUCCCGUGUUCAAGCCACGGUGAUGCCA
Mycena maculata is the source of this 84-nucleotide non-coding RNA. The record is from the annotation of a GenBank genome assembly. NCBI's taxonomy places the organism in Eukaryota, Fungi, Basidiomycota, Agaricomycetes, Agaricales, Mycenaceae.